RNAcentral lists this microRNA precursor (56 nucleotides) under Ascaris suum (pig roundworm). RNAcentral's name for it is "Asu-Novel-7_pre stem-loop". The record is from RNAcentral. Lineage: Eukaryota; Metazoa; Nematoda; Chromadorea; Rhabditida; Ascarididae.
CGGGGUACCAUCGUUCUAUGCAGUAGUGCCGGUGCAUAGAACGAUGGUAGCCCACU